Molecule: long non-coding RNA, 507 nt
Filed under: Carica papaya (papaya)
Lineage: Eukaryota; Viridiplantae; Streptophyta; Magnoliopsida; Brassicales; Caricaceae
Description: long non-coding RNA (CPAP_LNC009596)
Source: RNAcentral
AUGGAAAUUAAAGUGUUGAGGAAAUGGUGAAGGAGAGUCUCUAUUUAUAAAAAAUGGGGACUGUUGGAUUUGCACCAAGUGGCAAAAUCUGGUAAGGAGAGACAAAGUCAAUUGAAAAAGUAGGAUGUGAUGACCAACGGAUGGGACCGAUGAAUGGAAGACGCAAUGUGACGGCAACGUGAAAGCUGGAGGCACGCCACCUAAAUGACGGUGGCAUGUCACCCAAGCAACGAUGGCACAUCGCCCAAACUAGCAGCGCGCUCUGCUCGAUGCAGCACACAUUGCUCUAGCCUUCUGCACACCGCAGGCAUACUACGAAGAUGGUGCAUGUGCAGGGCGCGCAUACCAUGCCCCUUGCCCCGCAUGGAUAGGACGAGUGCAUAGUGCGCACGUCCAAUGCUGGUUGUGCACAUGUAAACACGUGUGACAUGCGGAGCCCUUACAGGUGGGAUUUUUCUUGCAUGCAUUCCUGCGGGAUUUUCGUCGUUUUUCUCUUUUUUUCCUGAA